CCAGGCAGCGGUGGCAGACACACAGCAAUGCAAAGUGAUGGGUAUACCCGAGGAGGCAGCCAGAUUCGGCACCUGAUCCAGCACCCGUUUGGGAUUGGAAAAUUAACCCCAAACCAGAAAAUCAACAGCUACUACCUGUCAGCCACAGUGAUCCUCAGACCAAGUCACCAAGAGGAAGCUCUGGGCUCAGAGGAGCCCCUGUUGACUUGUCUGUCUCUCUCUGUCUCUCUCUCUCUCAGAUAUUAAGAAGCAGUGCUCCACUUUGAGGAAAACUCUAUCAAGUAAUCAGGCAUGGCUCUUGCCUGGAAGCUGGCAGACAGACAAGCUGGUCCCAGGUCAGCUGAAUCCCAACAGUCCACAUAAAAGAAAGAGCACCUAGGCUCUGGUCUUCUGAAUGUAAUACACCAGCUCAUGAUGGAGAAGCCUUAACAAUCUUUAGCACCACAGACUUAUACUUUCAGAGCUGGAAAGAGACCUUAGCAACCAUUCCUUAAUUUUACAGAAGCAAAAGACUCAGAAAGGUGAAGUGAUUUGCCCAAGAUCACAGAGCCACUAGGUGACAGCACUGACAGGACCAGAAUUUCCUGACCUUUAGAAUAGGCGAGGACUUAAAACUCCAGGACUAGGCCAACAUGGGAUUUAUCAGUUACAAAUGCUCUUAAAGAGUUUCACCCAGAUUCCUUCCCUCUGCUGACUAAGGCGCGGGCCUAGUCUUUCCCCCCACUGCCCACUCUCUUUACCCCCACCUUUGGAACCCUGCAUCAUUUCCCUGCCUCUGGAGAGUCUAACCUAUCUUUCUGCAGAAGUGGGGAUGGGGGCAGGAGUUUGUGUUUUACAAAAGCUCCCAAGUGCUCCUGAUACCCUGGAUUCAGAUCUUGUCUUCUAGGGUGCCCUGUCCCUGCUCCUCCCUGCCCCCUCCCCUCUAUCCUAUAUACUAUUGCUUUCAACCCAAAGAUUCUACUCCCUCACAACCUUUACCUUAUCCGGUCAAGAAACCCCAACUGCCUUCUGAGACAUCUCCUACUGUAUUCUUAGCAACCUUCCUUUUGCCUCUCCUUCCUACUUUGGCAUCUGGAGUCCCUGAGGUCACUUAACCUCUUCACCAGAGUCUUUAAGAGGGUGGGCUGUCUUUUAAGCUACAGGGACACAUGACUCAUUAGUGAGGAGACCCUGGAGCCAGCUUCAGAGACCUGCCAGGACCCACAGCCUCCUUGAGAUUCUGAACAUCCACCCUCCUGCUAUAGUAUGAGCCCCUCUUUUCUUAAGGGAACUGGAAACAAUAGAGAAAGGUGGAGUCCAGCUUAUUUCAAGUGUUUAAGAACAUUACUAAAUUGUUUUUGCUUCUAGGUCCUAUUAUGUGAAAUGCAUCCCACUUCACACCUGCCCUCCCAGUAUGUAACCUGCACCCCCAACCCUGGCCCCAACCACUUCUCAAGACUGAUGAGUCUCUUCAUAAGAUAACUCACCACCCCUAUUUUAAAGAGAGAAUAGCUGUGAAAUGCAAGUUUGAUCUGCUAAAGAGAUUUACAUCCAAAUAUCCAGGAA
This is a long non-coding RNA of Suricata suricatta (meerkat), 1545 nucleotides long. RefSeq lists it as uncharacterized. The record is from RefSeq and is a predicted model, not a curated record. Lineage: Eukaryota; Metazoa; Chordata; Mammalia; Carnivora; Herpestidae. The transcript is spliced from 3 exons.